CACCUCCCACCCGUGUUUAUUUUCCUUGUUGCUUCGGCGGGCCCGCCUUAACUGGCCGCCGGGGGGCUUACGCCCCCGGGCCCGCGCCCGCCGAAGACACCCUCGAACUCUGUCUGAAGAUUGUAGUCUGAGUGAAAAUAUAAAUUAUUUAAAACUUUCAACAACGGAUCUCUUGGUUCCGGCAUCGAUGAAGAACGCAGCGAAAUGCGAUACGUAAUGUGAAUUGCAAAUUCAGUGAAUCAUCGAGUCUUUGAACGCACAUUGCGCCCCCUGGUAUUCCGGGGGGCAUGCCUGUCCGAGCGUCAUUGCUGCCCUCAAGCACGGCUUGUGUGUUGGGCCCCGUCCUCCGAUCCCGGGGGACGGGCCCGAAAGGCAGCGGCGGCACCGCGUCCGGUCCUCGAGCGUAUGGGGCUUUGUCACCCGCUCUGUAGGCCCGGCCGGCGCUUGCCGAUCAACCCAAAUUUUUAUCCAGGUUGACCUCGGAUCAGGUAGGGAUACCCGCUGAACUUAAGCAUAUCAAU
RNAcentral lists this ribosomal RNA (521 nucleotides) under Penicillium sp. PF1_4_Fu. RNAcentral's name for it is "eukaryotic LSU rRNA". The stretch from base 153 to 305 matches the Rfam family "5.8S ribosomal RNA". The record is from RNAcentral. Lineage: Eukaryota; Fungi; Ascomycota; Eurotiomycetes; Eurotiales; Aspergillaceae.